AGAGAUCAUGGCUCAGGAUCAACGCUGGCGGCGUGCCUAAUGCAUGCAAGUCGAACGGGGUCGCUUUCGGGCGACUUACGUGGCGGACGGGUGAGGAACACGUGGGCAAGCUGGCCCGAGGUGGGGGGUAGCCCGCGGAAACGCGGGGUAAUUCCGCAUGUGCGCACCGAGUCGUGGGCUGGGUGCGGAAAGGGAUCUUCGGAUCUCGCCUGGGGGGGCGCCUGCGGCCGAUUAGCUAGUUGGGGGGGUAACGGCUUCCCAAGGCGGUGAUCGGUAGCUGGUCUGAGAGGACGGCCAGCCACACGGGGACUGAGACACGGCCCCGACUCCUACGGGAGGCAGCAGCAAGGAAUUUUCCGCAAUGGGGGACACCCUGACGGAGCAACGCCGCGUGCGGGAUGACGCGUUUCGGCGUGUAAACCGCUUUUCUUGGGGACGACGAACGACGGUACCCGAGGAAGAAGGCCCGGCUAACUACGUGCCAGCAGCCGCGGUAAUACGUAGGGGCCGAGCGUUGUCCGGAGUUAUUGGGCGUAAAGCGCGCGCAGGCGGCUUCGCGCGCCCGCCGUGAAAGCCCCCGGCUUAACCGGGGAGAGUCGGUGGGGACGGCGAGGCUUGAGGGCGGGAGAGGGCGGUGGAAUUCCCGGUGUAGUGGUGAAAUGCGUAGAGAUCGGGAGGAACACCUGUGGCGAAGGCGGCCGCCUGGGCCGACCCUGACGCUGAGGCGCGAAGGCGUGGGGAGCGAACGGGAUUAGAUACCCCGGUAGUCCACGCAGUAAACGAUGCCGACUAGGCGUGGGUGGACUUGACCCCAUCCGUGCCGGAGCUAACGCGGGAAGUCGGCCGCCUGGGGAGUA
Molecule: ribosomal RNA, 857 nt
Filed under: uncultured bacterium
Lineage: Bacteria
Description: bacterial SSU rRNA
Rfam family: Bacterial small subunit ribosomal RNA
Source: RNAcentral